CUGAAGUGGAAAAUGUGUAUGUAGAGGUGAAAUAUUCCCUUUGUAUUCCAGCACUGCCAUCCCUGGCUGGAUGAACAUGGAAAAAGUCAGCAGCUUUCCAGGUACUGUUGAAAAAUAAGAGCUCUACAGGAUGAAGGAGGAAAUUAACCUGGACCGAAGACAUUUUUUGACUAUCAGCAGCAAAGAUGGAGCAUAACGUCACCCAUCCUGGCCACCCGUAUUGGAAGGGAAGCUGCAUACAUGACCAGUGCAUGGAAAAACAUUACAACGCGGGCCUACUUACCUAUGGUUUCUCUGCUAUUUUGAAAGACCAUCUGUGUUUGUAAAGAAAGAGAAAAUGGGUCAGUAUGAAGCUAGCUAAAGGUGAUUUUGCACAUCCCCAAAAUAUACCUUCUGCUACAAUGCUUUAUUUUUUCCUUGGGUGAAGUCCAAAGACUUUGACCAAAAUACUUCUGCAGACUUCUCUAAAAGAACAAAUAAUUAAAAAAUAAAAAUAAAAACUCAACCCAGGAUCAUGGAUGUAUCUGUUCAAAAACUUGCUGAGUUUUUCAGGUCACAGAAGACCAUUUCCUGCUAGUACAAGAAGAAAACUAAACUGCUGAUUUGUUUACGGGUGUGUGAAAAUCCUGUGGCUUUAAAGUGCUUUGUGUGUGAGGAGAGGGAGAACAGGGGAGGGCAGGGGGAUGGAUGGGUGGCUUUGUUUUAAAAUAACGUUAAAAUCAUAUUCUUUAUGUGUUUGUUUUACCUGCAAGGUGACAAAUGAUCGCACUUAGUAAAUCAAAGGUUUUGGCGUAAAAUCUUUCUUUAACAAGCCAUAUCUGUUCAAAGUAACAAAGCCUGGAUUGAAUAUAAGUGGGUGUCAGUUCAGGAAGUAAAUACCUAUCUGUUGUAUAAUCAGGUCUAUUCUGUAUUUACUGAGUCCUGACUGGCUCUUCUACUUCCCUAAGUAGGGAAAACAUCAAAUCUUGAGCUUCAUUUUCCUCCACAUGCAGAUCAACGGACCAUUGUCCCCUUUGUAGUUAAUGGAAGGUUGGAAGGAAAGACAGCUACAGUUCUGUGCUGCCCGAUUGCAGGAAGUGAGCAUACAGGCAUACUUGUGUAGAUACACUCAUCUUCCCAUUAUCUUAUAUUGCAGCCUGGUUUAGUUAUGUGUGAACACCACAUUUUGGAAGGAUGAAAUCUGCUUCAUAAUAUGCCUGCAUAAACACCAAUAAUAUACUAGAUGUACCCAUCUCUAUAAACAACCAAGUAUAA
Molecule: non-coding RNA, 1254 nt
Organism: Meleagris gallopavo (turkey)
Lineage: Eukaryota; Metazoa; Chordata; Aves; Galliformes; Phasianidae
Source: RefSeq, a predicted model, not a curated record